CGGAGGUGACACUAUGUGACAUUAUGCCACAUUCGUCUUGGAAUGUAGUCACUAGACUCCAUCGAGAUGCAGACCUUGUCCUGGGAAUCCUUCUUGGAGCAACUGAAAAGAGCUCCCCCUUCUCCUGAAUUUGAAGCUGGGAAGGUAUAUAGCCUCUGAGGAUGCAUGAUGUGUUGGAAGAAGCAGAAGUGAACCACGCAGAAAGACCAAGUCCUGUUGAUUAAGACCCUUCAGAAACUACUCAUCUUGGACUCUGUUUCUUGCCACAAGGAACCCUGACUCACCGUUUGUGAAGGGCAGAGGCAGAGAGGAGCUGUCUCAGAAGCCAGAACAUUGGUCUUCUUAGUGCAUUUCCAGGAGUAGUAAUUCUCUGCUUUGCCUGUGAGUCUAGGGUUAUGCAGUACAGGAAAACCAAGUGACAUUAGAUAGAUUUUUUUCAUCAAAAUUGCCUCUGCAGCUGAGAUAAAGAACAGAGGAAUCCUCUUCAGGAGAUCCCCUGAUGUCCUUAUGGAGGGGUCUCUCCCUUCACAACCAACCACCUCCUUCCCACCCACUUUCCUGUCUUCCACACCAGAAAUUGCCUCAGGCAAGCCAAGAGACUUUGUGGUCCACUGAAUGAAAGAGAUGUGGAGACAGCACGGUACAGGGGGCCACGUAGAAAAUGAAGAUGAGUAAGUCUGCAGGUCUGCUCUGGAGGGAAUUGAGCGGACCUGAGAGAGGCCGUGAUGACCAGUGGAAGAGGAGGGACUGAGGCGUGCGGCAAGAUGCUUGUUCAGGGUCCCGCAGACCAGCUCUUGUGAUGACAAGACCGUGGCUCCUUCUGGUUGGUGAAAUCUGCUUCUCUCCCUGAGCCAGGAGGAGUGGGCCACUAGCACAGAGUUCUCUUCCUGUA
Molecule: long non-coding RNA, 892 nt
Organism: Fukomys damarensis (Damara mole-rat)
Lineage: Eukaryota; Metazoa; Chordata; Mammalia; Rodentia; Bathyergidae
Exons: 5
Source: RefSeq, a predicted model, not a curated record